GCUCUCUGUUUAUAUAAAUAUAGGGAGUCGAGCCUGCCCAGUGAAUUUUUAAACGGCCGCGGUACUCUGACCGUGCAAAGGUAGCAUAAUCAUUUGCCUUAUAAUUGAAGGCUAGUAUGAAUGGUUUAACGAGAGCAACACUGUCUCCUUUUUAUUUUCAAGAACUUAACUUUUAGGUGAAGAGGCCUAAAUUCUAUUGAAGGACAAGAAGACCCUAUCGAGCUUAAAAGACAUUAUAGAGGUUUAUAUAUUUGUAAAUAAAUUUUCUAUUAAGCUUUUUAGUUGGGGCGACUAAGGAACAAAAAAAGCUUCUUGCUAAUAACAAACAGUCAUGUUUAGAUCCGAAAAUAAUCGAUCAAAGAAAUUAGUUACCGUAGGGAUAACAGCAUAAUCUCUCUUGAGAGACCUAAUCGAAAGAGGGGGUUGUGACCUCGAUGUUGGACUAGAAUAUCCUAAAGAUGCAGAAGUCUUUGAGGGUCGGUCUGUUCGACCGUUAAAAUUCU
RNAcentral lists this ribosomal RNA (503 nucleotides) under Juga sp. Calibasis 6. Its description in RNAcentral is "partial 16S ribosomal RNA". It matches the Rfam family "Bacterial large subunit ribosomal RNA", at positions 1818 to 2597 of the family's 2925-position model. Lineage: Eukaryota; Metazoa; Mollusca; Gastropoda; Semisulcospiridae. The record is from RNAcentral.